Cinara cedri is the source of this 1542-nucleotide non-coding RNA. NCBI's taxonomy places the organism in Eukaryota, Metazoa, Arthropoda, Insecta, Hemiptera, Aphididae. The record is from the annotation of a GenBank genome assembly.
UUUUUUUUUGUUUCGUAGAACCGCAUACGCUUAAACAAUGGUUCUUCAAAGGGAAUUCUUGAGAUUCGUUACUAUACUUAUUGUGAAUUAUAACAAUAUGUGUGUACCCACUCGUUAUAAUAAUAUUUUAUAGUAAUAACGACGUUAGUUCGUUAUAAUAUUAUACACCUACCUACAUAUCUAUACUUGCUGUCUGUCGGUGGCGUUUCACACGAAACGGAUUUUAAUGGUUCAUUAAACAUAUCGCGAAUAGUAUUAUCGCGUUUAAAAACCGUUUAUAAAAUAAUAUUACGUCCUUCGGUUGAGAGAAAAAAAAAACAAUGCCUAUAUACCUACUCUUGAAACGCAAGUACCGAAAACGUUAAUGCGUUUUAAAUAUGAUAAUAAUGCGUAUUGUCUCUUACAAUAUAAGUCUAUAGCUGUAUAGGGUUAUAAAGCUAGAAAUUGUGCUAUAAGGUAUACGCGAUGCGCCCGUGAGAACAUAUUUGUUCAAUUAUCGUUUUUAUCGAACGGUCCCGCGGUAAAAAAAAAAUAAAAAUAAUAAACCGAUUUCAAUCGCAAACACAACAGAAUUAAUAACGUGUCAUUAUAUUUUAGGCUCGAUUAUGAUAUCGUGUAUCACACGAACGUAAGAAUAACAUUUUUUUUCCCGUCAAAUUAUUAUAAUCUCUUAAUUGUUAUUUUAAUUAAGUUUUAUGGAUUUUCCACCUGUCUAUGCGUAAUUUUCUAUGCACGAUAAUUAUUAUAUUGUUUUAAUUACAAUAUUUUCAUUCUCAAUAUAAGAGCGAUUUUUUGGUCUCGUCGUCGAGACUUGGUACUAUAAAAUACGCGUGUUCGUUUUUGUAAGAAAGUACUAAUUUUACAAACAUGGGAAACUGAAAACACGGAGAUUAUCGUUGGUGGGAAAUCGCGAACAAAAUUAAAGCGAUAAGAUUCCGUUUGAUUUGAAACGAAAUAUAAUUCGUUUUUUGGCUACGGUUUGUUUCAGAACGAUUUCGAUUGCUUGAUAAUAACAUUGGUCAUAAUAACUAUUUAGUACAAACAAAUGGUUUAAAACAAAAAUCAAUAUUUGUUCACGAAUUUAUUAUAUUCAUGCGGUUUAUUCGAACAAGUCGAUUCGACUUAAUGUUUCCGCCAGAGUGUUUUAUCGUUGACUGUCUUGGUAACUAUUAUAGCAGUACGAGUGUCCGACAAUAUUUUUAUCUUUGUGAUAUGCAUUUAUUACGAAUGAUUUUUAAUAACUAGAAAUAAGUUUACUUAUCCCCUAUGUUUAAUCGAAAUUAAGAUUAAUGUCAAUCAUUUAUCAAUAACUAACGGAUUUAAGAUACGUUCGGUAUUUUCAAUUGACGGACACAAAUAAGUCAGUGUAUAUAACACGACAAAAAUGAUUAUAAAAAAAAAAAUACAUUCCGAUCGAUACAAAUAAAUAAUAUACAAUACGACAAUCAAAAUAUUAUUAUAUAUAGCUGCACUGAUGUAAUUCUUAAUAUUUAAUUGAAAGAAUGAUGCACGUACCCCACAAUAAUAUUAUACGAACUCAGA